AGCCACCCCAAAACCAGAAUUUAUUUUUAAGCUGAGGUGGAAGGUCAGCUGCAGGGACACGCUGCCACCUCCCUUCUUGACAUGAGCCUCCUUGAGUUGGCACCAGGAUGUAGCAUGGCUCCCACCCUUGCUUCCCCUUUGGUUGGACACUCUCCAAUGCCAGGGUCAUGCACCAACAGAGCAGCUCCAAGAAAGAGCAUUUUCCAAAGCCCAGAUGACUCAGAGUGGUGAGUGUGACCGGAGGGGAGGUUCAGCACCCAGCUCAGACCUUUGUUUGGGAGUUAACGAUUCCUCCAUGCUGAUUUCACCUGCCUGUUCUAUCGUGCCCAGUGCGGUGAAAACAUCCCAGAUACUCUGUAUUACAAGGCCAGCUCUGCAAUUUUGCUGAGUAACUGUAGGCUGCUCACAUAAUCUUUCUGUAAUUCAAUGAGAUGACUGCAUUUGGAAAAGGUUGGAGCACCCACAUCACAAGCCGAUUCUGGGGGCGAACUGAGGUAAUGCUGUAAAGCACCUCCUAUGCACAGACCCAUGGAGCAUGGGAGUGGAUAUGAAGAUGCUCCCUCACCCCUUCCAGGAAGCUGGUAGCUGACAAGGACUCAGGCUCAGUCACUUCCAGCUGUGUGACCAUGCGUAGGUUUCUCAGCUUCCCUGAGCCUUGAUCAUCUCAUUUAUAAAGAACAAAAUACCCAACUGGAAAGGCUGGCGGUAGGAGUAAAUGCAACUGAAUAUGCAGAAGAGCGUGGCACACAUAAUUUUAUGAGAAAGUGGCACUGUCAUACCCUGUCUCAGAUGAAGAAGUUAAGAUUGCAGGAGGUGACACAGACUCCCUGCUAGAAGACAAUGAAUGUUGUAAAAAGCAAGAAAAGGGAAAGAAGGCCAGGGGCAGUAGCAGGCGCCUGCAAUCCCAGCACUUUGGGAGGCCGAGGAAGAUGGAUCACCUGAGCUCAGGAGUUUGAGACCAGCCUGGCCAACAUGGCAAAACCCCAUCUCUACUAAAAAUACAAAAAAUUAGUCCAGUGUGGUGGCAGGCGUCUGUAAUCCCAGCUACUCGGGAGGCUGAGGUGGCAGAAUCGCUUGAACCCUGGAGGCAGUGGUUGCAGUGAGCCGAGAUCACGCCAUUGCACUCCAACCUGGGCGACAAGAGUGAAAUUCCAUCUCUUAAAAAAAAAAAAGGAAAGAAAAGUUGACACUUUUUGCGUUCACAAAUGCUACCCCAAAGAUGCACCGUGGUGUUCAGAGGAGGCUAACCAAGGACCGGAGGAGAGGCGAGGUGGUGUGGCUGUUCAGGAUCAGAGCACUGGAACCCAGCAGGACCGUGUGCCUAUCUCAGUUCCACCAUGCCAGAGCCGUGUGACCUGGGGCAGGUAGCAACGUCUCUGAGCCUCAGUCUCCUCACCCCCUCAUCCCUCCACCUCACAGGUGAAGAGUAACCCUGAGACACUGCCCUUAGCAAUGUGCCUCCCACGAAACACCCUGGAGCAUUGAUGGUGAUGAUGAAGGGGUGGAGGGAGGUGGUGGGUCCUACAGUAGAAGGGUGAAGGCAUCUCAGCCAGAAGGAGCUGGGUUCAAGUGCUAGCUCACCCCCUGUCUGGCUGGGUCCCCUUAGACGAGUAACUUUACUUCUCCAAGCCUCUCGCUCCUCAUCCGGGAAAAUAGAGACGAUGAUACCUUCCUCACAAAGUGGUUGGGAGGAUUCACUGAAUGGGUGGCAUGAAAGUCCCCAGCACGGUGACAUCUCCCUCAGCAGAUGUUUCUGCUCUGUCCCUUCACAUGUGGCAUGAGCUCCUGUGUCUCCCUGUCAACGAGUCAUUCGGAAGGAAAGGCUGGUUACUUUGAAUAGACGCAUAGCUCACUACUGAGGAGAAGUCCUCACCAAGGACUGUUGGAAAGAAGACCUGUGUGUAUUCAUGCUCGAGUCCAGACCCCAAUCUGAACCCAUUUGAAGUGCCUCCCUCCCUCCUGCCCCUCCUCCCUGUCCUCCUCCUCCUUUUUCUUCUUCACAGUGAUGUUGUUCUGGACCCACUGAACUUGCUGCUGGACAGCACUUAGAAUGGUGCCCUAAUGCCUGGCACAUAGUAGAUACUUGAAUAUUUAUUAAGUGAAUAAAUAAAUGCUAUAGAAUAAAACUCAGUCCUUUUUUUAACUGGUGGAGCUAAGUCAUUAUUUCCUGCAUUUGUGAAUAUUUUAAAAUUACAAAAUAAAUUUAUAUUGAUUCUAGAAAAAUAAUUAGAAAAUACAGUUGAUUAAAAAGAAAAAAUAACAGUUCCAUGCAAUCCCAUUGUCCAGCCUUAACCACUGGUGUUAAUUUGCUCUACAGGUCCUUCCAG
This 2327-nucleotide long non-coding RNA is filed under the name Homo sapiens (human). Its description in RNAcentral is "HSALNT0005834". The record is from RNAcentral. Lineage: Eukaryota; Metazoa; Chordata; Mammalia; Primates; Hominidae.